UCGAGAAUCUUCGGCAAUGGGCGCAAGCCUGACCGAGCGACGCCGCGUGUGGGAUGAAGGCCUUCGGGUUGUAAACCACUGUCAGAGGGGAUGAAAUGCAGGUGGGUUCUCCCAUCUGUUUGACAUAGCCUCAGAGGAAGGACGGGCUAAGUUCGUGCCAGCAGCCGCGGUAAGACGAACCGUCCAAACGUUAUUCGGAAUUACUGGGCUUAAAGGGUGCGUAGGCGGCGCGGAAAGUUGGGUGUGAAAUCCCUCGGCUCAACCGAGGAACUGCGCCCAAUACUACCGUGCUUGAGGGAGAUAGAGGUGAGCGGAACUUAGGGUGGAGCGGUGAAAUGCGUUGAUAUCCUAAGGAACACCGGUGGCGAAAGCGGCUCACUGGAUCUCUUCUGACGCUGAGGCACGAAAGCUAGGGUAGCGAACGGGAUUAGAUACCCCCGUAGUCCCUGAGCGGGCUGGCAAGGCGCAU
Molecule: ribosomal RNA, 469 nt
Filed under: uncultured bacterium
Lineage: Bacteria
Description: bacterial SSU rRNA
Rfam family: Bacterial small subunit ribosomal RNA
Source: RNAcentral